RNAcentral lists this ribosomal RNA (253 nucleotides) under uncultured bacterium. RNAcentral describes it as "partial 16S ribosomal RNA". It matches the Rfam family "Bacterial small subunit ribosomal RNA", at positions 524 to 776 of the family's 1533-position model. The record is from RNAcentral.
UACAGAGGUCUCAAGCGUUGUUCGGAUUCAUUGGGCGUAAAGGGCGCGUAGGCUGCGGGGCAAGUCGGGUGUGAAAUCUCAGAGCUCAACUCUGAAACUGCACUCGAUACUGCUUUGCUCGAGGACUGGAGAGGAGAUUGGAAUUCACGGUGUAGCAGUGAAAUGCGUAGAUAUCCGGAGGAACACCGGUGGCGAAGGCGGCUUCCUGGACCGACACUGACGCUGAGGCGCGAAAGCUAGGGGAGCAAACGGG